RNAcentral lists this ribosomal RNA (1351 nucleotides) under Clostridioides difficile. Its description in RNAcentral is "partial 23S ribosomal RNA". It matches the Rfam family "Bacterial large subunit ribosomal RNA", at positions 1 to 1365 of the family's 2925-position model. The record is from RNAcentral. Lineage: Bacteria; Bacillati; Bacillota; Clostridia; Peptostreptococcales; Peptostreptococcaceae.
GGUCAAGUUAUUAAGGGUGCAGGGCGGAUGCCUUGGCACUAGGAGCCGAUGAAGGACGUGAUAAGCUGCGAUAAGCUUCGGGGAGUUGCACGUAAACUUUGAUCCGAAGAUUUCCGAAUGAGGAAACUCACUUAGAGUAAUGUCUAAGUAUCAUUAAGUGAAUACAUAGCUUAAUGAGGGGAACUCAGGGAACUGAAACAUCUAAGUACCUGAAGGAAGAGAAAGAAAUUCGAUUCCGUAAGUAGCGGCGAGCGAACGCGGAUUAGCCCAAACCAAUAAAGUUUUCUUUAUUGGGGUUGCGGACAUAUCAUAACGAAGAGGUAUCGUAAUUGAAGAGGUUUGGAAAGACCCACCACAGAAGGUAAUAGUCCUGUAUGUUAAACGAGAAGACUUUAGAUAUGAUCCAGAGUACCACGGGACACGUGAAACCCUGUGGGAAGCAGGAGGGACCACCCUCCAAGGCUAAAUACUACCUAGUGACCGAUAGCGUAUAGUACCGUGAGGGAAAGGUGAAAAGAACCCCGGGAGGGGAGUGAAAUAGAACCUGAAACCCUGCACUUACAAGCUGUGGAAGCACAUUUCUUGUGUGACCGCGUACUUUUUGUAGAACGGGCCAACGAGUUACGUUAAGUAGCAAGGUUAAGCACUUAAGGUGCGGAGCCGUAGCGAAAGCGAGUUUUAACUGAGCGUUCAGUUACUUGACGUAGACCCGAAACCGGGCGACCUACCCAUGAGCAGGAUGAAGCGAAAGUAAAAUUUCGUGGAGGUCCGAACCCACGAGCGUUGAAAAGCUCGGGGAUGACUUGUGGGUAGCGGUGAAAUUCCAAUCGAGCCCGGAGAUAGCUGGUUCUCCCCGAAAUAGCUUUAGGGCUAGCCUCAAGGUGAGAGAUACGGAGGUAGAGCACUGAAUGUCCUAGGGGGUAUUGCACCUACCGAAGACUAUCAAACUCCGAAUGCCGUCAUCUUAUACUUGGGAGUCAGACUGUGGGUGAUAAGAUUCAUAGUCGAAAGGGCAACAGCCCAGAUCGUCAGCUAAGGUCCCUAAAUGUAAGUUAAGUGGUAAAGGAUGUGGGAUUGCACAGACAACCAGGAUGUUGGCUUAGAAGCAGCCACUCAUUCAAAGAGUGCGUAAUAGCUCACUGGUCGAGUGAUCCUGCGCCGAAGAUUUCCGGGGCUAAAACUUACUACCGAAGCUACGGCAUCAGUAAUGAUGGGUAGGGGAGCUUCCCAUACGGGUUGAAGCAUGACCGUAAGGACAUGUGGACAGUAUGGGAGUGAGAAUGUUGGCAUGAGUAGCGAGAUGUGGGUGAGAAUCCCACAGGCCGUAAACCCAAGGUUUCCAGGGGAAGGU